CAGCCGCCGCGGUAAUACAGAGGGUGCAAGCGUUAAUCGCAAUUACUGGGCGUAAAGCGCGCGUAGGUGGUUUGUUAAGUUGGAUGUGAAAGCCCCGGGCUCAACCUGGGAACUGCAUCCAAAACUGGCAAGCUAGAGUACGGUAGAGGGUGGUGGAAUUUCCUGUGUAGCGGUGAAAUGCGUAGAUAUAGGAAGGAACACCAGUGGCGAAGGCGACCACCUGGACUGAUACUGACACUGAGGUACGAAAGCAUGGGGAGCAAACAGGAUUAGAUACCCGAGUAGUCCCUGUCUCUUAUAA
This 301-nucleotide ribosomal RNA is filed under the name uncultured bacterium. Its description in RNAcentral is "partial 16S ribosomal RNA". It matches the Rfam family "Bacterial small subunit ribosomal RNA", at positions 509 to 809 of the family's 1533-position model. The record is from RNAcentral.